UACGGAGGGUGCAAGCGUUGUCCGGAUUUAUUGGGUUUAAAGGGUGCGUAGGCGGCUAAUUAAGUCAGCGGUGAAAUUCCACAGCUCAACUGUGGAACUGCCAUUGAUACUGGUUGGCUUGAGUACAGAUGAGGUAGGCGGAAUUGACAGUGUAGCGGUGAAAUGCUUAGAUAUUGUCAAGAACACCUAUUGCGAAGGCAGCUUACUAAGCUGUAGCUGACGCUGAGGCACGAAAGCGUGGGGAUCAAACAGG
Molecule: ribosomal RNA, 253 nt
Filed under: uncultured bacterium
Lineage: Bacteria
Description: partial 16S ribosomal RNA
Rfam family: Bacterial small subunit ribosomal RNA
Source: RNAcentral